Molecule: non-coding RNA, 2634 nt
Organism: Chrysemys picta bellii (western painted turtle)
Lineage: Eukaryota; Metazoa; Chordata; Testudines; Emydidae
Source: RefSeq, a predicted model, not a curated record
GGGAGAUGUGAAAAGAAGAUACUACGCAACAUUGGAGACGGAGAUGCUAAUUUUUUUGGCUCCCCCCCUUCCCCCCCGCUUUAGGUUUAGAACCAAGGAAAAUGAAGUCACCCGUCAGAGUCUACUGCCCUCGUGAUGGAAAGCGAGCGAGAGCGUUGAGACUCUGAGCAUUGUUGAUGCCACGCAAAAGCCAUCCAUCUGGGAGCCGAAGAGAUGCCGCUGUCAGUGAGAUAAGUGUCUUGUUUCAUGAGGGCUCUGCUCACGCCCAACCUGAGUCCAGGUAGAGAAGCCCACUAAGUUAGGGCUGGGUUUGUAUGAAAAGGUUCCUGACUAGCUGUGGUUACAAGGGAGAAAAGGUCCCUACUUUCAGAGGUUGCUCAUUUCUCUGGUCAGGAACAGUGUCUCCUCCGCAGCGGAAGGUUGGAUUCAGGAGGAUGACUCCAGGUGAAGACACGGGCAGGCGUGCUAGGUGUGCAUCUGCAGAGGCCAGGUCUCGGGAGCCAUGGAGAAGUAGGAGCGUACGAAAACCAUGCAGGGCUGUAACUGUCAGUGUUACCUUGGUCUCUGUUCAUCGAGUGGGGCUGAUGUAGAUGGGAUUGGAGAGGGAGGCAGGGAUGAGGGCAAAACUAGACGCCCCAAUGGAGCUCUGUGUAGUGAUAGUUCUUGCUUGGCUUUAUUAGUUUGCGGAGGAAUCGUCCAGGAGCCCUAGCCAGACAAGAAUAUUGCAGAAGUGGACCUGAGUUGUCUGGACAUCCUUCUAAGGAGACAUGAAUAGUCCUCAUGUUUCUGCCUUCUGCAUCGCUGGCUGUGAGUAAUAGUUGAGUGCUUUGAAUUCCUCAUCUGUAGUCGCUGUAGUUUUCUUCACAGGCCGUGUGCUUCCUCGUUGGAUAUGAGGCUCUGGGAUUAAGGCUGGGGAAGGGACAAGAGUCUCCUGAAUAAAGUUUAGUAUCAAGGGAAAAAAAGUCACGCGUCAGAGUCUACUGCCCUCAUGUGAUGGAAAGCUACCGGGAGCGUCGAAACUCUGAGCAUUGUAGAUGCCACGCAAAAGCCGUCCAUCUGGGAGCCGAGGAGACGCCGCUGUCAGUGAGAGAAGUGUCUGGUUUGGUGAGGGCUCUGCUCAUGCGCAACCUGAGUCCAGGUAGGGAAGCCCAGUACGGUAGGGCUGGGGUUGUAUGAAAAGGUUCCUGACUAGCUGUGGUCAUGAGGGAGAAAAGGUCCCUACUUUGCUCAUUUCUCUGGUCAGGAAUGGUGUCUCCUCCGCAUCAGAAGGUUGCAUCCAGGAGGGUGACUCCAGGUGGUGAGUUGCUUGCUUUCCUCCCAUGUUUUUAUUUCUCUCUUUGUCUGUCUCUCUCUCUCUCGUACUUUGGCCAACACACAGCCUCUAUCUCUCCCUCUCUGUCUGUCCUUGCCUUUCCCUGUACUGUCUCCCUUUGUAGGACACAGGCAGGCGUGCUAGGUGUGCAUCCCCACAGGCCAGUUCUUGGGAGCCAUGGAGAAGUAGGAGGGGAGGAAAAUCAUGCAGGGCUGUGACUGUCGGUGUUAUCUUGGUCUCUUUUCGUCGAGUGGGGCCGAGGUAGAUGGGAUUGGAGAGGGAGGGCAAGAUUUGAAGCACCAAUAGAGGUUUGUGUAGUGAUGGCUCAUGCUUGGCUUUUGCAGCUGCGCUUCCAGAGGAAUUUUCCAGGAGCCCUAGCCCGAAGAGAAAGUGGCAGAACUGGACAUGAGCAGACUGGACACCCUUGUCAGCAAACAUGAACAGACCUCGGCUUUCUGACUCCCGCAAAACUGGCUUAUCAGGAAAAGAAAUCGAACGUCAGAGUUUACUCCCCUCGUCGGAUGGAAAGCGAGCGAGAACAGUGAGCCCGCAAGCAUUGUUGAUGCAAGUCAGGAGCCGUCCAGUUGGCAGUGGAGCAGUCGCUAUUGUCAGUGAGAUAAGUGUCUGGUUUGGUGAGGGCUCUGCGUAGGGCCCCCCUGGUCCAGGUAGGGACACCCCGUUAGCUGGGUCUGGGUUUGUAAGAAAUGGUUCCUGACCAGCUGUGGUUAUGAGAGAGACAAGGUCCCCAUUUUCAGGGACUGCGCAUUUCUCUGGCCAGAUACAGUGUGUCCUCGGCAGCUGAAGGUUGCAUCCAGGAGGAUGACUCCAGGUGGUGAGUUGCUUGCCUUCCUCCCAUGUCUUUCUAUCUGUCUCUCUCUCUUCUCUAGUACGUUGGCCAACACACACCUUCCAUCUCUCUAUGUCUGUCCUUGCCUUUCCUUGUUCUGCCUCCCUUCGUAGGACACAGGCAGGUGUGCAUCCCCAGAGGCCAGGUCUCAGGAGCCAUGGAGAAGUUGGAGUGGACGAAAAGGAUCCUGGAGGAAUCGUCCAGGAGCCCUAGCCGGACAAGAAUAUGGCAGAAGUGGACCUGAGCAGCCUGGACAUCCUUCUAAGGAGACAUGAAUAGUCCUCAUGUUUCUGCCUUCUGCAUCGCUGGCUGUGAGUAAGAGUACCAAGGAAAACGAAGUCACGCGUUAGUCUACUGUCCUCAUGUGAUGGAAAGCGAGCCAGAGCGUCGAGACUCUGAGCAUUGUUGAUGCCAUGCAAAAGCCGUCCAUCUGGGAGCCUAGCAGACGCUGCUGAUAGUGAGAAGUGUCUGGUUU